UUACUCCUAUUGGUCAAAGGCCAUGCCCAAUGGACUUCAAGAGGGCUGCCCAAGGCCAUAUAAGGAAUUAGGGUUUUUUUUUCGAAGUCUUUCAAGCUUUGGAGGCUAGAAUCAUCAAGUUUAGGUUUUUGGCUAUAGAUUAGAUGUAAAUUUUGUGUGAUUUGGAAUUUUUAUGAAGGAAUUAUUAGUACUCAAUAUUAAGGUAUCAAUUUCAUAUCUACUGUAACUCUUUGAGGCAUAACAUAUGUUUAUAAAGAGCAACAAAAGAUCAACGAUUAAGAUUGAAAAGGAUACUUUUUUGACUACACUUUUCAUAUAUUAUUUGAUGAAUUUGGAAUUUAGAUGAAGAAGAUAUAGAGGGUUGAAGUCAGUGCAUCAAAAUCAAAGGUAGUAUGUAAGUGAUUUUAUUCAUAGUAAUGGUUGGAGCCAUAUCUUGAU
This 438-nucleotide long non-coding RNA is filed under the name Physcomitrium patens. RNAcentral's name for it is "long non-coding RNA (PPAT_LNC011741)". Lineage: Eukaryota; Viridiplantae; Streptophyta; Bryopsida; Funariales; Funariaceae. The record is from RNAcentral.